GCGGGUCUCCGUGAUCUUGGGCUCGGGCCUACGGCAGCUGAGGGCCAUUCCUAGCAUGCAGCGUUGAGGGUAAGGUCCAGGGAACGCGAGGCCACUGGGUUCACCGCCCGGGCUGCAUCUUCUCUCCCGGAGCUGAAAACUACCCUGUUUUUGUGCAGUGCAGAUUCGGCCACCGAGUUACGGAGCUGUCCAGGAAUGGCAGCUGUGAUUGACAGGCAUCUUUAUAGCAAGCUAACGAAACUACUCCAAGUCACAGCAAGCCAAGCAGGAGCAAUUACGCCAUCAGGAACCAAGGCUGCCUCACACCAAACGACAAAUUAUCCUAUGGCAUGAGCCAAGGUGCCCCCUCGCAGUGGACACAGAAUUGUCCUCUUGAGUGAUGAUGACUUUUCCACAGCCAGCCAUUCCCAAGGUACAGAUCAAUCAGGCCACAGCUUGAGCAACAAUACGUACACUGCCAGCUAUGCAGAGCCCCCAGCUAUCUCCAGCUCUUGCCUUUGUUCCCCUUUCCUCUAAAGCACCAAAGCUUCUGUCAGCCCCUUGAAGACAGACCUGGAACCCCUUUGUGGUUCCCGGCAUGGCCAUGUUGAAUACUGUUUCUUCCCUGCCCUUACCGCUAUUUGACAGCUUGAUGGGCGUUUUAGGGCGAGUGAUUGAGCCUGGUCUGUAGGAACCCCUGGGCCAAGGCUUUUACCCUAAAACUCCAGGAACAGACACACACAGGUACAACAUUGAUCUUUGAUCUUACGUUUGAUAGUUUGAUAUAUUCUCAUAUUCUACUCAAUUCUGCUUCAUUUUUAAAAUUGUAGUUGUCUUACACUUAGACUUAUAUCCCGCCAUUCCAUUAAUUAGCUGCCACCUGCAGUUUGUGUGGGGUUUUUUUGUUUUGUUUUGUUUGGUGUGGGGGUUCAAACUCAGAUCCUUGAGCUG
Molecule: long non-coding RNA, 930 nt
Organism: Fukomys damarensis (Damara mole-rat)
Lineage: Eukaryota; Metazoa; Chordata; Mammalia; Rodentia; Bathyergidae
Exons: 3
Source: RefSeq, a predicted model, not a curated record